RNAcentral lists this long non-coding RNA (228 nucleotides) under Sorghum bicolor (sorghum). RNAcentral's name for it is "long non-coding RNA (SBIC_LNC005061)". Lineage: Eukaryota; Viridiplantae; Streptophyta; Magnoliopsida; Poales; Poaceae. The record is from RNAcentral.
UACGAACUAGCUUAAUCAUUUUCUAAAAAAAUAAAAACAAAUAAAUAUACUUUUCCUUUUAUCUUUUGCCUUAUCUCUGCUAUUCUUUCUUCUUAUCUAAUCCUUGAUCUCUGGUCUAUCAUGAAUUCAAACAUGUCUGUCUAUGAAUUUCAUAGACCUACGGGCACACAUCUUGAUCCAGCAAAAUCUUCAAAGCCUAUCAUAGCAUCUAGUUUUGAGAUAGACCCC